This is a long non-coding RNA of Nannospalax galili (Upper Galilee mountains blind mole rat), 692 nucleotides long. RefSeq lists it as uncharacterized. The record is from RefSeq and is a predicted model, not a curated record. NCBI's taxonomy places the organism in Eukaryota, Metazoa, Chordata, Mammalia, Rodentia, Spalacidae. The transcript is spliced from 2 exons.
CCUGUAUCCCCAGCUGACCUGGAACUCACUAUGUGGACUAGGCUGGCCUCAAACUCACAGAGAUCCAUCUGCCUCUGCCUCCCAAGUGCUGGGAUUAGAGGCAUAAACUACCAUGCCUGGCUUGCCCUUUGUUGAGUAUACCAAUCUGGAGUAGAGUUUCGUGUUGCUGAGUUUGGAUGAAGGAGGAGCAAAGUGAUUUGGGAUUACAUGAGACUGAUGCAUUCUUACUGACUGUUACAUUUCCCUGAAGAAAUGUUUAUUUGCUAUGUAGUCUUCAGGACCGUUUUCAGAUUUUCUCUUGUGUUCGUAAGUUUCACGGGAUUUGCUGAGGACCAGCUCCUGCUCUCAUGUUGGUGUGCAGCCUAAAGCAUGUAUAAGCCCUAAGGACUGGUGAGAGACUUUCUCGGACGAGCUGAGCUUGCCUAGAAGAGACUCAGACCAGCCAAGCUCUCUGGAAGAACCAGAGACCAGCUGACCUGCCUGGAAAUUCAGACCAACUGAGCUACCUGGAAAGACCACACUGCAAUCUUGAGUUGCCUACAGGUUGUGCAGUGCGCACUGGGUCUCCAGCUUUCGUGAGCCCUCAUCCUUGUUGAAGUGGGCUUCUGGUGAUGCAACUGUCUUUGAGUCAUUUCUGCUCUUGUAAGUAACACCAGUAAAACCCAUUGCAAUAAAACCCUUUUGUUCACCUA